RNAcentral lists this ribosomal RNA (237 nucleotides) under uncultured bacterium. RNAcentral's name for it is "partial 16S ribosomal RNA". It matches the Rfam family "Bacterial small subunit ribosomal RNA", at positions 96 to 334 of the family's 1533-position model. The record is from RNAcentral.
CGGCGCACGGGUGAGUAACACGUAUCCAACCUGCCCUUUACUCGGGGAUAGCCUUUCGAAAGAAAGAUUAAUACCCGAUAGCAUAAUGAUUCCGCAUGGUUUCAUUAUUAAAGGAUUCCGGUAAAGGAUGGGGAUGCGUUCCAUUAGGUUGUUGGUGAGGUAACGGCUCACCAAGCCUUCGAUGGAUAGGGGUUCUGAGAGGAAGGUCCCCCACAUUGGAACUGAGACACGGUCCAA